This is a non-coding RNA of Camellia sinensis, 830 nucleotides long. Lineage: Eukaryota; Viridiplantae; Streptophyta; Magnoliopsida; Ericales; Theaceae. The record is from RefSeq and is a predicted model, not a curated record.
CGACGUCUCCCUUCUCCCUCACCGGCGUCUUCCUUCUCCCUCACCGGCUCUCCCUCUCUCAAACCGCUGUACGAAGACGAACCAAAGUUCACUAUGAUUUUCGCCCCCCAAUUGACUCUUUCUCUGGAUGAAUGGGAGAGCAAAAUUGAGGGAGCAGGUGGACAUGUUCAUAAUAAGAUCAAGAAAGACACACACUGCUUAGUUGUGAGUGGAGUGCUGGAUAAUAAAGAGGCUGACACGAGGAAGGAAAGGAGGAUGAAAAUACCUAUCAUUAGAGAGGACUAUCAGGUUGAUUGUGUCAAAAGACCAAAAACUUCCUUUUGAUCUAUACACAAUUGAAGCCAUCAGAGAAGAGUCUAGCAUGGUCACUUAAAGUGAAAGGGCGAAAUGUUGUACAUGAAUCAUCUGGCUUGCAAGAUUCUGGCCACAUCCUUGAGGAUGGAAAAAGCAUUUACAAUACAACUUUGAACAUGUCUGACCUUUAAACUAAUUACGAUAUCCUUUAAAUCAUUCAAGAGGAUAAAGGUUCAGGAUUAUGGGGGGUCAAUAAAGAGGUGGUCCCUAAGAAGAAAAAUAUUAACGAUGCAGGAAGCCAACUUGCACCCCCAUUAGGAGAAUUGAUGAAGAUGCUCUUUAAUGCAUACAGUUGGUGUCUUCAGAAAGAAAGGUACCAAACUAUAUGAAGCAAGCUUGAAGGAUGAGAAGCGUUUAGAUCAAUGGCUUCAUUGUUAAAUUAAGCAAGUGUUUUAGUAAAUAAAUUUAAUUUUCCCAUCAUGUUUACACCUUCAAAAUAUUCUGUAAAUGACAUUUGAUGUAGAAUUUUUUGUACA